GCCGCAGGACCAUGACACACACAACACAAAAAAUGGUUUUGCAGGUACCAUGUAUUUAACCAAACCCCAAAAAAGAAUAACAAGAAAAGAAAAACUUAAAUAAUCACUCCUGCUGCAGCUAUCCAAUUAAUCAAAAACCCAGUGAGGGUACACAAAGACAACUAAACAGAUUUAUCUGGCUUAUACCAAGCAACACAGGUUCUCAAAAACAGUUCCCCCAUAAACACCACAUGUUAAUAUCAAAUCCACUGAUCCACACUGAAGUCCAUGAGUUUAAUCUGAAUGUCCAUGAGAGAUGUCCAAGCGCUAUUGUCCAUAAAUGAAAGGAAUGGUGUGUAUGAUUGCGGAAAUCAGUGUAUUUGGAAAAUGGGGACAGAGCGUUGUCUUUGAUAGCUUCCUACCCAACCGGUGGAAGCGUCAAUUGCAGAAUGUGUCCUGCUCCUAGCCGUUCAUUGGCUCGCCAUCCUUUUCCAUACCCCAAAAAGGUUCACCUGGCCUGCAUUAAAUAAACAAGGCCAAUAAGAAAUCACAAGAAUAAUACAAAAAUGUCAGCCAAUUAAGCUAAAUACAUUAAGUUAUUCUUGUUCCUGUGUACACAAUUUAUAAAUAAAUAAACAAACAAUAUAUUGGUUAAAUAUAAUAUUCCUAACCAAUAAGGAUUUAACUGAAAACAUUUCAACUGCUACAUACAUACAUACUAUGUAGCUCCACAACAUUUGUUAUUCAACAACUAUCAGUCAAAUCAAAAUCAAAUUGUUUGGACCGGCAGCAGCCGAUUAGCGUCAGCUGGUAGCAAUACAAACACUCAAUUAAAAGUUCAAACUCACCAAUUCCGUUCUGUUCAGUGCACAACAACAUUAUGGCUCUGGCUCACAGUAAUCAGCAUCUAAGUUGCAUAAGUUAGUUGGUGUUAAAAAAAUGCAU
Haplochromis burtoni (Burton's mouthbrooder) is the source of this 924-nucleotide long non-coding RNA. RefSeq lists it as uncharacterized. The transcript is spliced from 2 exons. The record is from RefSeq and is a predicted model, not a curated record. Lineage: Eukaryota; Metazoa; Chordata; Actinopteri; Cichliformes; Cichlidae.